This 551-nucleotide ribosomal RNA is filed under the name uncultured bacterium. Its description in RNAcentral is "partial 16S ribosomal RNA". It matches the Rfam family "Bacterial small subunit ribosomal RNA", at positions 355 to 920 of the family's 1533-position model. The record is from RNAcentral.
UGGGGAAUAUUGCACAAUGGGCGAAAGCCUGAUGCAGCAACGCCGCGUGAGUGAUGAAGGUCUUCGGAUUGUAAAGCUCUGUCUUUUGGGACGAUAAUGACGGUACCAAAGGAGGAAGCCACGGCUAACUACGUGCCAGCAGCCGCGGUAAUACGUAGGUGGCGAGCGUUGUCCGGAUUUACUGGGCGUAAAGGGUGCGUAGGCGGAUGUUUAAGUGAGAUGUGAAAUACCCGGGCUUAACUUGGGUGCUGCAUUUCAAACUGGAUAUCUAGAGUGCAGGAGAGGAGAAUGGAAUUCCUAGUGUAGCGGUGAAAUGCGUAGAGAUUAGGAAGAACACCAGUGGCGAGGGCGAUUCUCUGGACUGUAACUGACGCUGAGGCACGAAAGCGUGGGUAGCAAACAGGAUUAGAUACCCUGGUAGUCCACGCCGUAAACGAUGAGUACUAGGUGUAGGAGGUAUCGACCCCUUCUGUGCCGCAGUAAACACAUUAAGUACUCCGCCUGGGAAGUACGAUCGCAAGAUUAAAACUCUAAAGUGAAUUGACGGGGUC